AGAACUUCACUGCUCAGCCAAGUAAGAUUCAGCAGGUUAUUGUGUGUGGGUUAUAGGUAAAUAAAUUGUCAAGUUAAUAAUUGUAGCCAUGGAAUUGACUUCCAGAUUGCAAAUUUAUAUUAUUUUUUACUACACAACUCUUAUUGUAGAGAUAAUACUGCAUACAAUCUGUAACCAGGUUUGUUAGGCUUAUCAUAACAGUUGUGAAUAAUUACUGUUAAGGCCCAAACCCAAGUUUGGUCAUUUUUCUGGUAACCAACGACUGUAUCUUUUUUUUUCUCUUUUUAAAUCUUUUUUAAACUGAAGUAGUGAUGGCCUUACCUGGGAUUGACCUUGUUCAGCAACAUCCACAAGUACAGCAACUAUAAUCAAACAUAUGGCUGCACAGAAAAAGCUGCAGAGUACUUUGAAAAGUACUUAAAUGAGCUGAAUACUAGAGGUAAGAUGGCUCAAGAGAUAAGAAACACUAUGGGGCUCUUGCAAUUCUGGAGUGGUUGGCCCUCCCUUCCAAUCACUGAAGAAAAGUUGACAGUUGCCUUUCUUGCAAAGACACCAAACAAAGUCCUGGCAGAAGCAGAAACCUCUUUUAAGGUGUUGAAGAUACCAAGAUACCACAUCAAGUUUGAAAAAUUUGUGAAAUAUAUGGAUCUUUCAAUUUCGCACAGUAAAGUGGAGUUUGGAAAGAUCUAGAUACAUCUUCAGUAGUUUCUGAAGGACUGUUCUUUAAUAAAUGUUUUUUUUUGGUUUAGAUUUUAUAUUUCAGUCAAUUCCAUGUGAAUACUCAGUUGAUUUUAAUAGUACACAUUUAACUGACACGUUUUCCUUGAUUGGUUUUUACUCACUACAACUCCAGCCCGGAUUAAUUGUGACUUACUGAAAUGGGUGACACCGCUGGAUUUUUUACAUCGAAGGCUCGGUUUAUUCCUUUGGGCAUUGCUUUCGGUGGCUGCCGAAAACGUGUCGAGUGAUUUCAGUUUUAUUCGUUUCGAAAAAGGUGAGAUAUUUUGGAAGAAGACCAAAGGAACUGCGGAAGGUACUUCAAAAGACUUGGACAAUAGUGUAAUUAAGCUACCUUGCGCGAACAGACUUGUGAUCUUGAUUAAAGAGCGUCGCAAAAGAUUUAAAAAUGGAUCUUGGACGAGUUGUUGUAAUCACUGCGAAGAGCAAAAGCGAAAAUAGUUUAUCAUUUCGAGCGCCGAUCGUUUUGUUUUGAUCCGAAUGAGUGCACUUGAAUUAAACUACUUCUUUAUUAUGUAAAUAUUGCGUGUCAUAAAUAGUGCUCGUGUUCGCGCGCUGGCGGUUCUUUCUUUCACAACUUUCGUCUUGUUCGAAUGAACUUGUUGUGAUCUGACCGUGCAUGCAAUGUUUACUUCUACUUGAAAAGACAUGUAAGCUGAUAAGUGCUUGGGUUUGAUCCGAGGUUGAUGUCUUUGACAUGUUGCCCAACACACCGGAAUGCGUAGCAAUUAUUAGACAUCAAUCAAGCAGAUUCCCGGGAUAGUUUAUUUCAUCUGUUAACAAAAGAAAAAUAUCUCACCUACAUCAGAGAAGUUGCGCUCUUCACGAUCUUCGGAAGCAUGCCGGCAUGUCGGCAAACUCAUCGGAAUGAAUAAGUAAUGAGAAAAACAAUAGCCUGAAUAUAUGAAUCCUUAACAACCUCAAUUUUUGAGGUACACAUUUAACCCGCUAUGGAGUUGUAAUGAGUUCACUGUAGCUUACAUUGUCCAAUCUGAAUUCAUUGUUUUUUUUCUUAUUUUUGUGGAAAUUUGUAUGUUACUUUUUUGGCUUAAGUGAUUUUGUUUCAUGCUAAAUGUUGAAAUUAAUUCUAGUUCACAUUUACCCCUCAUAUUAUCGCAUGUAUUCACAAAUUCCUGCUGAUUUAUUGUUCUUUUGAACAGUUGUUUUUUUUGCAAGUGUUUUCAAAGUUCCAAAUAAUUUUAUAUUGCUAAUAUACAUACAAACAGUCAAUCAGCAGCCAUCGAUGAAUGUUAUGUACUCAUGUUGAUUUUACUGAAUAACUAUUCUCUUUGUUUAUUAAUAAGAGUAAAACAAGCAAAGUCUCAUUUACAUAUAGGCCAGGCCUAGGCACUGUUACAGCCAAAUGAAUGUUUUAGACCACUUUUACUUUCAUAAGCUCCAGAAGCAGUGUUGAUCAAUUAAUGAUUAACUCAGAAUCUGCAACACUUCUGCAUAAAUGUCAACACCAUAGACUUCUGAAUCUCAUAGAGGAUUUAUGGUUCUCAGCUGUUGUUGAGCCUCUGUGGUCACGGCCAUUUCUGUCUGUGGCACCUCCACAGAUGGAGUUCCAUUGCUAGAAAUUGGGCCAUCAUUAUAAUUCUUCUGAUGCCAUAAAGUUCAUCAAUAAUCUGAAAAGGGGAGGGGCAGUGAUUUAUGUCCAAAAAUGACAAACAUGAUGAAGAUACAUCAGUUUCUGUUAUUGACUAUACCUUAUAGGUUUUUGAUUCGUCCUUUGUUUCUGAGUCACAACAGCUCAGACAAAUAUAUUUUUCUAUGUUGCAUUUGUCCUCCAGCCUCAAUGAAUUGCUCAAGUCCUUGUUAUUCCUACCAUCGUUAAAAUCUAAUUAGUUUGAUUUACCUCUGGGUUGUUAAACUCCAAUGCCACUUGUCGCUGGGACUGUGCCAAACCCAACCUACCACAAAUCCAAAGAUGUGUUGGAGGCUUCCCCUCCCCUUUUCUGUGCUUAACCCUUUAACUCCCAGAUCAAAUUUGUAACUCUCCUUACUGUCAACCCUACAAUUCUUAUAAUGUUAGUUCAGAGAAUUUAGUAUUGGAUCAACUAAUUGUCCCCAAAUUGAUAUUUUUCUUUGUUCUCAUCACUUCUUUGGUUGAUAUUUUAUUGAUAUUGUAAGGAGAAUUCUGUCUUUGGUCACUCAUGUGAGUUAAAGGAUUAAAGGAGCUCUAUUAUAUGCCU
Non-coding RNA from Pocillopora verrucosa, 2933 nucleotides. The record is from RefSeq and is a predicted model, not a curated record. Lineage: Eukaryota; Metazoa; Cnidaria; Anthozoa; Scleractinia; Pocilloporidae.